UACGAAGGGUGCAAGCGUUACUCGGAAUUACUGGGCGUAAAGCGUGCGUAGGUGGUUUGUCAAGUCUGAUGUGAAAGCCCUGGGCUCAACCUGGGAAUGGCAUUGGAUACUGGCGAGCUAGAGUGCGGUAGAGGGUAGUGGAAUUCCCGGUGUAGCAGUGAAAUGCGUAGAGAUCGGGAGGAACAUCUGUGGCGAAGGCGACUACCUGGACCAGCACUGACACUGAGGCACGAAAGCGUGGGGAGCAAACAGG
This 253-nucleotide ribosomal RNA is filed under the name uncultured bacterium. RNAcentral's name for it is "partial 16S ribosomal RNA". It matches the Rfam family "Bacterial small subunit ribosomal RNA", at positions 524 to 776 of the family's 1533-position model. The record is from RNAcentral.